Passer domesticus (house sparrow) is the source of this 493-nucleotide long non-coding RNA. RefSeq lists it as uncharacterized. The record is from RefSeq and is a predicted model, not a curated record. The transcript is spliced from 3 exons. Lineage: Eukaryota; Metazoa; Chordata; Aves; Passeriformes; Passeridae.
UUAUUCUAAUAUGCCACAUAUUUUGCAUGUUAAUAUCUAGGAGGAAAUAGCAGCCUACAGGAAAGCAAUUAAUCUGAAGCACUGAAUGCCAAAGGAGUAUUUACACAGCCAUGCCCAGUUCUAGCAUUGAGAACAUUUAAUACUGAAACAGAAGCAGCAAACAAGAAAUAUUCCUGGGUCAUUUGACUAGAAAAAUAAAACUGUCUGAGAGAGGAAAGAAAGUCUGCAAGAAGCUGCAAAUGAGUGUGAUAAAUGACCAGAUCUUCAAAAUCUAUGUGAAGUUGGUGUCUUGAGGAAGAGGGUUGGAUCAAUCACUCUUUGCUUGUGCCAGGCGGUGCCAGCAGAGAAACAAAGAAGGAAUAUUGAGACCUUUGAAACUGGAGAGAAUUGCAGCUGUCUCCACAAUUGAAGAGCACCUGGUGAUUGUGGUAACUGCCAGCAUCUACCUCCUUCCUCUCCCGUUUGUUUCAGUGGUGGAAUGGGUACGCAGUAA